Molecule: transfer RNA, 73 nt
Filed under: bacterium
Lineage: Bacteria
Also listed under: 1 other name
Description: tRNA-Lys
Rfam family: tRNA
About the family: Transfer RNA (tRNA) molecules are approximately 80 nucleotides in length. Their secondary structure includes four short double-helical elements and three loops (D, anti-codon, and T loops).
Source: RNAcentral
GGCCCGUUAGCUCAACUGGUAGAGCAGCGGACUCUUAAUCCGCAGGCUGAAGGUUCGAGUCCUUCACGGGUCA